RNAcentral lists this ribosomal RNA (253 nucleotides) under uncultured bacterium. RNAcentral describes it as "partial 16S ribosomal RNA". It matches the Rfam family "Bacterial small subunit ribosomal RNA", at positions 524 to 776 of the family's 1533-position model. The record is from RNAcentral.
GACGUAGGGCGCGAGCGUUGUCCGGAUUUAUUGGGCGUAAAGAGCUCGUAGGCGGCUUGUCGCGUCGACUGUGAAAUCCCGCGGCUCAACUGCGGGUCUGCAGUCGAUACGGGCAGGCUAGAGUUCGGUAGGGGAGACUGGAAUUCCUGGUGUAGCGGUGAAAUGCGCAGAUAUCAGGAGGAACACCGAUGGCGAAGGCAUGUCUCUGGGCCACUACUGACGCUGAGAAGCGAAAGCAUGGGGAGCGAACAGG